Molecule: ribosomal RNA, 322 nt
Filed under: uncultured Sphenoderia
Lineage: Eukaryota; Cercozoa; Imbricatea; Euglyphida; Sphenoderiidae
Description: SSU rRNA
Rfam family: Eukaryotic small subunit ribosomal RNA (bases 103-322)
Source: RNAcentral
GAUUUCUGGCAUAGCGAUCUGGCCCGCUUCCGAUAGGGGGUGAGUGCUUGUUCGGGUAUGCCAUCCUUCCGGAUAACCAUGGUCUUCCAUUCACUUGGCGGGUUAUGGCGAUCCGGAUCGAUUACUUUGAAAAAAUUAGAGUGCUUAAAGCAGGCUUAUGCCAUGAAUACUUCAGCAUGGAAUAAUAUGAUAGGACUUCUGUACUAUUUUGUUGGUUUGAGUAUAGAAGUAAUGAUUGAUAGGGAUAGUUGGGGGUGCUAGUAUUCCGAGGCCAGAGGUGAAAUUCUUGGAUUCUCGGAAGACUAACUACUGCGAAAGCAUU